This 350-nucleotide ribosomal RNA is filed under the name Globigerinita glutinata. RNAcentral describes it as "bacterial SSU rRNA". It matches the Rfam family "Eukaryotic small subunit ribosomal RNA", at positions 1164 to 1369 of the family's 1831-position model. Lineage: Eukaryota; Foraminifera; Rotaliida; Globigerinitidae. The record is from RNAcentral.
GCACCACAAGAACGCGUGGAGCAUGUGGCUUAAUUUGACUCAACGCGGGAAAUCUUACCGGGUCCGGACACACUGAGGAUUGACAGGUAUUAUAUAGCACACUUCGGUGUGUCUAUUGUUAAAUAUGCUAGUCCUUUCAUGAUUAUGUGAUAGGUGGUGCAUGGCCGUUCUUAGUUCGUGGAGUGAUCUGUCUGCUUAAUUGCGUUUCAGAUAAGGAUCUAUAUUCUUUACAGUGCUGCAGUCGUAAUUGACCCCUUUCUCACGAGAGUGUGUGUCUUUUUGCGCUCACACUUUACAUUAGUCCUGAAAGCAACGAACGUGACCGCAACCUCUUGUUGCCUCAUCUCCCC